Labrus bergylta (ballan wrasse) is the source of this 1273-nucleotide non-coding RNA. The record is from RefSeq and is a predicted model, not a curated record. Lineage: Eukaryota; Metazoa; Chordata; Actinopteri; Labriformes; Labridae.
ACAGUGAUGCUGUGUUACCGUGUUCCCCCCAGCACCAAGGAGAACAUCGAGACGAAGGUGUUUGACUGGAAGAAAGACGUGACGAAAGACCGCAAGGAGGUGUUCUUUUACAACGGAGGAGAAUAUUACGGUCACGGCAUUACAGGUCAAGACAAACAGUUUAAAGGUCGAGUCUCACAUUUUAACGACGAGCUGAAGAACGGUAACGCCUCCAUAAAGAUCAGGAAGACGACGAGGUCUGACAGUGGAGUCUACACCUGUGAUUUUCCUCGUCUGCAGCCGCCUCAGAAGUUCACCAUUGAGCUGGUUGUUGGUUCUUCACCUGGAUAUCGUGAUAUCUUUGGUCUGAGAAUUACUUUGGUUGGUUUAGUUUUUGUGGCUGUUGUGCUGGGUUUUGCAUAAAGCGUCACUGUAUAAAUCGUAAAAAGGUUCAAAUGCAGAUUCAGUCUUCCAGUGGACUCUUGCAGCCAUCUAAAACAACUCUGUGAAGUAUGUGUGACCUUAAGUAUUACUGGAUUACAUGGAGGGCAGAGGGGUGGCUCUGAAUCAAGUUCAACAUAAAGUUAGAGAGUAUUUAGAGCUGUAUUGGGCUUUAUGAAAGUGUUCAUCAACUUGUUAACUCAGGCUUUCUGCUUCAGGCUCUGAGCAUCGACGCUUCUUCUGCACAAAAUGGAAUGAUCACAGGCUGUCUGCUUCUGUCAGUUUAUAUAUAACUUUAGUUUGAAGUUGUAACGUUUUUUUAUUUAUUGUUGUGUCACAUACAUUUAUAUGCCCAGCCCGCGUGGGCUUACGUGACACCGUAAAUUAAAAUGUUCCAGGAUCAGAGUGCACUCGGUAAACUAUAUUCAUUGUCAAGAAACAAAAAGAGAAAGUCAAACUAAUUAAACAGAAUAUCCUGUCUUCUAUUCCAGGCGUUUGAAAAUGUUCAAACUUCAGAGAGUUAUGCAACUGUUGAAUUUAUUUUUACCAUAUAUGUUAUUUUUCUUUUAUUAUCACUUAAUCUUUUUGUCAUUUCAUUCAUAUCAUAUAGUCAAUACGACUUUAGUUUUUUUUUGUGCUUUUACAUAUCCUGUCAAUCCUACACACACCCGCGGUGCCUAUGCACCUGUGAGGUCAGGAUAAGUGUGCCAUACAUUGAGCAAAACCACAUACGAGCUCGUAGGUGUAUAGCGUUUCUGUGAAUCUGCCUGGUUCAAGCUAAAAACUACAUAUGAACUUAGUAUCACCUGUGUUACCUUGUAUGAUUUGACAUUAAAACCACAUAUGAACUUAG